This is an RNA transcript of Lepus europaeus (European hare), 1239 nucleotides long. It is a transcript of the gene named COMM domain containing 4, with no coding region annotated. Lineage: Eukaryota; Metazoa; Chordata; Mammalia; Lagomorpha; Leporidae. The record is from RefSeq and is a predicted model, not a curated record. The transcript is spliced from 9 exons.
CGUCAGCCGACUCCGCGCGCAGCGGAAGCCGAGGCUGCGGCGUCCCGGGCUCCCGGCGCGAUGAGGUUCCGGUUCUGCGGCGACCUGGACUGUCCCGACUGGGUCCUGGCGGAGAUCAGCACACUGGCCAAGAUCUCCUCUGUGAAGCUGCGGCUGCUGUGUGGCCAGGUGCUGAAGGAGCUCCUGGGGCAGGAGAUUGAGUACGAGAAGAUCCUGAAGCUCACUGCCGACGCCAGGUUUGAGUCCGGCGACGUGAAGGCCACGGUCGCGGUGCUGAGCUUCAUCCUCUGCAGCGCCGCCAAGCACAGCGUGGACAGCGAGUCCUUGUCCAGUGAGCUGCAGCAGCUCGGGCUGCCCAAAGAGCACGCGGCCACCCUGUGCCGCGGCUACGAGGAGAAGCAGAGCCCCCUGCAGGAGCACCUGCGGGCGUGCAGCCUGCGCGUGAACAGGCUGGUGGGCGUGGGCUGGCGGGUGGACUACACCCUGAGCUCCAGCCUGCUGCGCUCCGUGGAAGAGCCCGUGGUGCACCUGCGGCUGGAGGUGGCGCCCGCCCCGGGGGCUGCGGCCGAGCCCGUGGCCAUGACCCUCUCAGCAGACAAGUUUCAGGUCCUCCUGGCAGAGCUGAAGCAGGCCCAGAGGGUGAUGAGCAGCCUGGGCUGAGGAGGCCGCCCCAGCCGCGCCCCGCCACGCCAGCGGGCCUUCCUCUGUCGCCGCUGGACGCUGGCCUGGGCAGGGUGUGGCUCCCUGGGCCGGGGGCCCCUGGCGGAGGCCUCGCGGAGAGAGGAGGGCCCUGCUCGCCCCGCCAUCAUCCUUAGGACGGGCACGGGGCCCGUGCUGGCGCACUCACCGGCCGCCGGCUGCCCGCGGGGAGGGCCCUUGCCAGACCCGGGACGGUAGCCCGCAGGAGAGAACACGGAGAAACAGCUGGACAGGUCUCUGGUCCAGCAGUGCGGCCGCGGGCUAGGGCGCGUCCUACAGCAGAGCGCCGGUCCCAGUCCCCGCUGCCCCGCCGCAGCCCAGCUCCCUGCUCUGGCCUGGGAAGGCGGCCGGGGGUGCUCCAAGCGCUUGGGCCCUGCACCCACGUGGGAGACCCGGAUGGAGCUCCUGGCUUCUGGCCGUUGGGGCCAUUUGGGGAGUGAACCAGCAGAUGGAAGAUCCAUAUUCAUUCGUUCUCCCCACCCCCCGCCCCUCCCCUCCCCCUCCUCUGUGUAACUCUGCCUUUCAAAUAAAUUAUUUAUU